GGUGAGGUGGCCGAGAGGCUGAAGGCGCUCCCCUGCUAAGGGAGUAUACGGUUUAUCCCGUAUUCGAGGGUUACGAACUCCCAUCCUUCACCGCCA
RNAcentral lists this transfer RNA (96 nucleotides) under Vibrio sp. 03_296. RNAcentral's name for it is "tRNA-Ser". Lineage: Bacteria; Pseudomonadati; Pseudomonadota; Gammaproteobacteria; Vibrionales; Vibrionaceae. The record is from RNAcentral.